AGAGUUUGAUCCUGGCUCAGGAUGAACGCUGGCGGCGUGCUUAACACAUGCAAGUCGAACGAACCUUCGGGUUAGUGGCGGACGGGUGAGUAACGCGUGGGAAUCUGCCCUCAGGAAGGGGAUAACGGCUGGAAACGGCCGCUAAUACCCCAUAUGCCGAGAGGUGAAAUGAAUUUCGCCUGAGGAUGAGCCCGCGUCUGAUUAGCUAGUUGGUGAGGUAAGAGCUCACCAAGGCAUCGAUCAGUAGCUGGUCUGAGAGGAUGAUCAGCCACACUGGGACUGAGACACGGCCCAGACUCCUACGGGAGGCAGCAGUGGGGAAUUUUCCGCAAUGGGCGAAAGCCUGACGGAGCCACGCCGCGUGAGGGAUGAAGGCCUCUGGGCUGUAAACCUCUUUUAUCAAGGAAGAGAUCUGACGGUACUUGAUGAAUAAGCCACGGCUAAUUCCGUGCCAGCAGCCGCGGUAAUACGGGAGUGGCAAGCGUUAUCCGGAAUUAUUGGGCGUAAAGCGUCCGCAGGCGGUCGUUUAAGUCUGCUGUUAAAGCGUGGAGCUUAACUCCAUUAGGGCAGUGGAAACUGGGAGACUAGAGACUGUCAGAGGCAAGUGGAAUUCCCGGUGUAGUGGUGAAAUGCGUAGAUAUCGGGAGGAACACCAGUGGCGAAAGCGGCUUGCUGGGACAGUUCUGACGCUGAGGGACGAAAGCGUGGGUAGCAAACCGGAUUAGAUACCCGGGUAGUCCACGCCCUAAACGAUGGAUGCUAGGUUUGCGGGGUAUCGACCCCCUGUGAGCCGUAGGUAACCCGUUAAGCAUCCCGCCUGGGGACUACGACCGCAAGGUUAAAACUCAAAGGAAUUGACGGGGGCCCGCACAAGCAGCGGAGCGUGUGGUUUAAUUCGAUGGUAAGCGAAGAACCUUACCAGGGCUUGACAUGUAGGUGGUACGGAUCCGAAAGGUGAAGGACCCGCAAGGGAGCCUACACAGGUGCUGCAUGGUUGUCGUCAGCUCGUGCCGUGAGGUGUUGGGUUAAGUCCCGCAACGAGCGCAACCCUUGUCGUUAGUUACACUCUCUAACGAGACUGCCCCUAAAAGGGAGGAAGGAGGGGAUGACGUCAAAUCAUCAUGGCUCUUACGUCCUGGGCUACACACACGCUACAAUGGCCAGUACAGACGGUUGCUAAGUCGCGAGGCGGAGCCAAUCCGACAAAGCUGGUCUCAGUUGGGAUUGCAGGCUGAAACUCGCCUGCAUGAACGUGGAGUUGCUAGUAACCGCAGGUCAGCAUACUGCGGUGAAUACGUUCCCGGGCCUUGUACACACCGCCCGUCACGUCAUGGAAGAUGGCAACACUUGAAGUCGCCAGGCUAACCCUUCGGGAGGCAGACGCCGAGAGUGGGACUGAUGACUGGGAUGAAGUCGUAACAAGGUAACC
Molecule: ribosomal RNA, 1429 nt
Filed under: uncultured prokaryote
Description: partial 16S ribosomal RNA
Rfam family: Bacterial small subunit ribosomal RNA
Source: RNAcentral